Molecule: ribosomal RNA, 491 nt
Filed under: uncultured bacterium
Lineage: Bacteria
Description: partial 16S ribosomal RNA
Rfam family: Bacterial small subunit ribosomal RNA
Source: RNAcentral
AGUGAACGCUGGCGGUAGGCCUAACACAUGCAAGUCGAACGGCAGCACAGUAAGAGCUUGCUCUUACGGGUGGCGAGUGGCGGACGGGUGAGGAAUACAUCGGAAUCUACUUUUUCGUGGGGGAUAACGUAGGGAAACUUACGCUAAUACCGCAUACGACCUACGGGUGAAAGCAGGGGAUCUUCGGACCUUGCGCGAUUGAAUGAGCCGAUGUCGGAUUAGCUAGUUGGCGGGGUAAAGGCCCACCAAGGCGACGAUCCGUAGCUGGUCUGAGAGGAUGAUCAGCCACACUGGAACUGAGACACGGUCCAGACUCCUACGGGAGGCAGCAGUGGGGAAUAUUGGACAAUGGGCGCAAGCCUGAUCCAGCCAUACCGCGUGGGUGAAGAAGGCCUUCGGGCUGUAAAGCCCUUUUGUUGGGAAAGAAAAGCAGCAGGUUAAGACCCCGCUGUUCUGACGGUACCCAAAGGAUAAGCACCGGCUAACUUCGU